RNAcentral lists this ribosomal RNA (1306 nucleotides) under uncultured bacterium. RNAcentral describes it as "bacterial SSU rRNA". It matches the Rfam family "Bacterial small subunit ribosomal RNA", at positions 93 to 1399 of the family's 1533-position model. The record is from RNAcentral.
UAGUGGCGGACGGGUGAGUAACGCGCGGGUAACCUGCCCAUAAGUGGGGAAUAACAGUUGGAAACGACUGCUAAUACCGCAUAAGCUGAGCAAUCAGUAAAGGAGGCUAACGCUUCCGCUUAUGGAUGGGCCCGCGUCUGAUUAGCUGGUUGGUGGGGUAAUGGCCUACCAAGGCAACGAUCAGUAGCCGGCCUGAGAGGGUGGACGGCCACACUGGGACUGAGACACGGCCCAGACUCCUACGGGAGGCAGCAGUGGGGAAUAUUGCGCAAUGGGGGAAACCCUGACGCAGCGACGCCGCGUGAGCGAAGAAGGCCUUAGGGUCGUAAAGCUCUGUUUUAAGGGACGAAUAUCCUCAGUAAUAACUGACUGGGGAAUGACGGUACCUUAAGAGAAAGCCCCGGCUAACUACGUGCCAGCAGCCGCGGUAAGACGUAGGGGGCGAGCGUUGUCCGGAAUUACUGGGCGUAAAGAGCACGUAGGCGGGAUUUUAAGUCAGGUGUGAAAGACCGUGGCUCAACCACGGGGUUGCACAUGAAACUGGAAUUCUUGAGGGCAGGAGAGGAAAGUGGAAUUCCUGGUGUAGCGGUGAAAUGCGUAGAAAUCAGGAGGAACACCGGUGGCGAAGGCGACUUUCUGGACUGACCCUGACGCUGAGGUGCGAAAGCGUGGGUAGCAAACAGGAUUAGAUACCCUGGUAGUCCACGCUGUAAACGAUGGAUACUAGGUGUGGGAGGUAUCGACCCCUUCCGUGCCGCAGCAAACGCAAUAAGUAUCCCGCCUGGGGAGUACGGUCGCAAGGCUGAAACUCAAGGGAAUUGACGGGGGCCCGCACAAGCGGUGGAGCAUGUGGUUUAAUUCGAUGCAACGCGAAGAACCUUACCAGGUCUUGACAUCCAAAGAAUCCUGAUGAAAGUCGGGAGUGCCUUAGGGAGCUUUGAGACAGGUGGUGCAUGGUUGUCGUCAGCUCGUGUCGUGAGAUGUUGGGUUAAGUCCCGCAACGAGCGCAACCCUUGCUAUUAGUUGCUAACAUUGAGUUGAGCACUCUAAUGGGACUGCCCGUGACAAGCGGGAGGAAGGUGGGGAUGACGUCAAAUCAUCAUGCCCUUUAUGAUCUGGGCUACACAUGUGCUACAAUGGAUGGUACAGAGAGCAGCGAGACAGUGAUGUGGAGCGAAUCUCAAAAAGCCAUUCUCAGUUCGGAUUGCAGGCUGCAACUCGCCUGCAUGAAGUCGGAAUCGCUAGUAAUCGCGGAUCAGCAUGUCGCGGUGAAUGCGUUCCCGGGCCUUGCACUCACCGCCCGUCA